This 96-nucleotide signal recognition particle RNA is filed under the name Campylobacterota bacterium. Its description in RNAcentral is "Epsilonproteobacteria bacterium signal recognition particle sRNA small type". It matches the Rfam family "Bacterial small signal recognition particle RNA". Rfam says of the family: The signal recognition particle (SRP) is a universally conserved ribonucleoprotein involved in the co-translational targeting of proteins to membranes. Archaeal SRP consists of a 7S RNA and homologues of the eukaryotic SRP19 and SRP54 proteins. In most bacteria, the SRP consists of a 4.5S RNA and the Ffh protein (a homologue of the eukaryotic SRP54 protein). The record is from RNAcentral. Lineage: Bacteria; Pseudomonadati; Campylobacterota.
GUUGGGGAAGUUAAUAAGGAUUAUUAUGCUUAAUCUGUCAGGUCCGGAAGGAAGCAGCAGGAGCAUGUAUAGUUUUGUAUUAACUUCCCUGUUUUG